CCUCUUAAAUAUUCUACCAUGUCCGUCUUUGGAGAACUUUAGUCCUAAUAUUAACACCUUUUCUUGCAAACUUGGAUGUCCUAGCUACCUUGAUAUCAUGAACUGUGCUUCUAUGAUUGCCAUACUUAAUGGCAUCACUAGUGUCACUAGUAUCUCUAAUACUAUGACUAUGAUUCCUUUUAUUUUUAUGACUAAGAUUUCUACUAAUUUCAACUCGAGCAUGAUAAUUUCUAGGCCUCAAAGAUUUCCUCAAGUGUGCACUUUUGUAACCCCUCCUACGUGAAAAAGAUCUGCUUAUUUCUUCUGAAGAUAUUGGAACAUGGUAUGAAAGGCUUUCAUCACUGUAAUCCUCAUCAGUUGUAGAGUAAAGCUUUUGAAUUCUGAUCCUUCUUCUCUUCCUCUUAACCCUUUGUAACUUGACACACAAGAAAGUGCAUGAAUACUCACACGAGUGGAAACAACAAGAGAAGCA
Molecule: long non-coding RNA, 472 nt
Filed under: Lupinus angustifolius (narrow-leaved blue lupine)
Lineage: Eukaryota; Viridiplantae; Streptophyta; Magnoliopsida; Fabales; Fabaceae
Description: long non-coding RNA (LANG_LNC001402)
Source: RNAcentral